RNAcentral lists this ribosomal RNA (406 nucleotides) under uncultured bacterium. Its description in RNAcentral is "bacterial SSU rRNA". It matches the Rfam family "Bacterial small subunit ribosomal RNA", at positions 28 to 432 of the family's 1533-position model. The record is from RNAcentral.
GAUGAACGCUAGCGACAGGCCUAACACAUGCAAGUCGAGGGGCAGCAUUACCGCUUGCGGUAGAUGGCGACCGGCGCACGGGUGAGUAACGCGUAUGCAACCUGCCUUACACAGGGGGAUAGCCCGGAGAAAUCCGGAUUAAUACCGCAUAACAAUCACAUUUCGCAUGGGAAGUGAUUUAAACCUACGGGGGUGUAAGAUGGGCAUGCGUAGCAUUAGUAGUUGGUGAGGUAGAGGCUCACCAAGACGAUGAUGCUUAGGGGGUCUGAGAGGAUAGUCCCCCACACUGGUACUGAGACACGGACCAGACUCCUACGGGAGGCAGCAGUGGGGAAUAUUGCACAAUGGGCGAAAGCCUGAUGCAGCAACGCCGCGUGAGCGAAGAAGGUCUUCGGAUCGUAAAGCU